GAUGAACGCUAGCGGAAGGCUUAAUACAUGCAAGUCGAGCGGUAGGUGGCUUCGGCCAUUGAGAGCGGCGCACGGGUGAGUAACGCGUACAUGACCUGCCUGUCAGAAGGGGAUAGCCCUGGGAAACUGGGAUUAAUACCCUAUGGUAUUGAUAUUAUGAAUGAUAUCAAUUAAAGUUGAGGCGCUGACAGAUGGAUGUGCGUCUGAUUAGCUAGUUGGUAGGGUAACGGCCUACCAAGGCGACGAUCAGUAGGGGGCGUGAGAGCGUGGUCCCCCACACGGGUACUGAGACACGGACCCGACUCCUACGGGAGGCAGCAGUAAGGAAUAUUGGUCAAUGCCCGCAAGGGUGAACCAGCCAUUCCGCGUGGAGGAUGAAGGCCCUAUGGGUUGUAAACUUCUUUUAGAUGGGAAGAAAUGCUAGAUGUAUCUGGUACUGACGGUACCAUCAGAAUAAGCACCGGCUAACUCCGUGCCAGCAGCCGCGGU
RNAcentral lists this ribosomal RNA (489 nucleotides) under uncultured bacterium. RNAcentral describes it as "bacterial SSU rRNA". It matches the Rfam family "Bacterial small subunit ribosomal RNA", at positions 28 to 521 of the family's 1533-position model. The record is from RNAcentral.